This is a long non-coding RNA of Dreissena polymorpha, 3073 nucleotides long. RefSeq lists it as uncharacterized. The transcript is spliced from 3 exons. The record is from RefSeq and is a predicted model, not a curated record. Lineage: Eukaryota; Metazoa; Mollusca; Bivalvia; Myida; Dreissenidae.
GGUGUCUGGGCUUGCUGCAUUAGUCCAUCCAGAUAAGCAAGUCUGGGCUUGCUGCAUUAGUCCAUACAGAUAAGCAAGUCUGGGCUUGCUGCAUAAGUCCAUACAGAUAAGCAAGUCUGGGCUUGCUGCAUUAGUCUAUCCAGAUAAGCAAGUCUGGGCUUGCUGCAUUAGUCUAUCCAGAUAAGCAAGCCUGGGCUUGCUGCAUUAGUCCAUCCAGAUAAGCAAGUCUGGGCUUGCUGCAUUAGUCUAUCCAGAUAAGCCAGCCUGGGCUUGCUGCAUUAGUCCAUCCAGAUAAGCAAGUCUGGGCUUGCUGCAUUAGUCCAUACAGAUAAGCAAGUCUAGGCUUGCUGCAUUAGUCCAUCCAGAUAAGCAAGUCUGGGCUUGCUGCAUUAGUCCAUACAGAUAAGCAAGUCUGGGCUUGCUGCAUUAGUCCAUCCAGAUAAGCAAGUCUGGGCUUGCUGCAUUAGUCCAUACAGAUAAGCAAGUCUAGGCUUGCUGCAUUAGUCCAUCCAGAUAAGCAAGUCUGGGCUUGCUGCAUUAGUCUAUCCAGAUAAGCAAGUCUGGGCUUGCUGCAUUAGUUCAUACAGAUAAGCAAGUCUGUACAGGCUAAUCAGGGACAAUACUUUCCUCUUUUAUGUAGUGUUUUGUUGAAAAGAAGGUGUCUUCUAAAUGAAAAUCCAAUUUAGGCAGAAAGUGUUGUCCCUGAUUAGCUUAUGAAGACAGACCUAUAAUCUGGGACAACACGUAACACACAUGCAUUAAGCCCAGUUUUCCCAGAACAAGGCUUGACUCUGUUUGGUAAAAUAGCAGUCUUACAUGGUAAUAUAUUCAAAAACAAUGAAUAAAGUAAGUUUGAAAACAGAGAAAUAACACUCCUGACUAAGAAAAAAUUAAAAAUACUGGUUCAUUAAUUUAUAAUUUGUUCAAAUAAUAAAGCGUUUGUAACGCUUUUCCUCAAUAAAAUUGAUAAAACGUAUCCAUAAUAAUUUGCAGAUACAUUUUAAAGUAUGUGUUUCAUGAUUGUAUCACACUAGCUUUUGCUUCGAGAGGUCUGGAGUUCAAAUCCUGUUGACAGCAAUAAUUUUAUGCCCCCCUUCGAAGAAGAGGGGGUAUAUUGCUUUGCUCAUGUCGGUCUGUCGGUCGGUCGGUCUGUCGGUCCGUCCACCAGGUGGUUGUCAGACGAUAACUCAAGAACGCUUGGGCCUAGGAUCAUGAAACUUUAUAGGUACAUUGAUCAUGACUCGCAAAUGACCCCUAUUGAUUUUGAGGUCACUAGGUCAAAGGUCAAGGUCACAGUGACCAGAAAUAGUAAAAUGGUUUUUGAAUGAUAACUCAAGAACGCAUACGCCUAGGAUCAUGAAACUUCAUGGGUAGAUUGAUCAUGACUGCAGAUGACCCCUAUUGAUUUUUUGGUCACUAGGUCAAAGGUCAAGGUCACGGUGACCCGAAAUAGUAAAAUGGUUUCCGUAUGAUAACUCAAGAACGCAUACGCCUAGGAUCAUGAAACUUCAUGGGUAGAUUGAUCAUGACUCGCAGAUGACCCCUAUUGAUUUUGAGGUCACAAGGUCAAAGGUCAAGGUCACGGUGACCCGAAAUAGUAAAAUGAUUUUAGGAUGAUAACUCAAGAACCCUUAUGCCUAGGAUCAUGAAACUUCAUAGGUACAUUGAUCAUGACUCGCAGAUGACCCCUAUUGAUUUCAGGUCACUAGGUCAAAGGUCAAGGUCACUGUGACCCAAAAUAGUAAAAUGGUUUCUGGAUGAUAACUGAAGAACGCUUAUGCCUAGGAUCAUGAAACUUGAUUGGUAGAUUGAUCAGGACUCGCAGAUGACCCCUAUUGAUUUUCAGGUCACUAGGUCAAAGGUCAAGGUCACAGUGACAAAAAACAUAUUCGCACAAUGGCUGUCACUACAACGUAGAGCCCAUAUGGGGGGCAUGCUUGUUUUACAAACAGCCCUUGUUUUGAUUCUUUGUAUGCCCCCUUCGAAGAAGAGGGGGUAUAUUGCUUUGCUCAUGUCGGUCUGUCGGUCCGUCCACCAGGUGGUUGUCAGACGAUAACUCAAGAACGCUUGGGCCUAGGAUCAUGAAACUUCAUAGGUACAUUGAUCAUGACUCGCUGAUGACUCCUAUUGAUUUUGAGGUCACUAGGUCAAAGGUCAAGGUCACGGUGACCAGAAAUAGUAAAAUGGUUUUUGAAUGAUAACUCAAGAAAGCAUAAGCCUAGGAUCAUGAAACUUCAUGGGUAGAUUGAUCAUGACUUGCAGAUGACCCCUAUUGAUUUUUAGGUCACUAGGUCAAAGGUCAAGGUCACGGUGACCCGAAAUAGUAAAAUGGUUUCCGUAUGAUAACUCAAGAACGCAUACGCCUAGGAUCAUGAAACUUCAUGGGUAGAUUGAUCAUGACUCGCAGAUGACCCCUAUUGAUUUUGAGGUCACAAGGUCAAAGGUCAAGGUCACGGUGACCCGAAAUAGUAAAAUGAUUUUAGGAUGAUAACUCAAGAACGCUUUUACCUAGGAUCAUGACACUUCAUAGGUACAUUGAUCGUGACCCGCAGAUGACCCCUAUUGAUUUUCAGGUCACUAGGUCAAAGGUCAAGGUCACAGUGACAAAAAUCGUAUUCACACAAUGGCUGCCACUACAACGGACAGCCCAUACGGGGGGCAUGCAUGUUUUACAAACAGCCCUUGUUUACUAUUAUUUGUAGUAAGACUUUUCAAAAUAAUAUAAAUACUGACUGACAUUUUUCAAAAAAAUGAAAAUCUUUUAACAAGUCCCUGUAAAGCAAUGAGAAAUAUUUUAUAAAGAUUCUGAGUUGCAUGACAGUUUCAGUUGUUAUUGUAUUUAAGUGAGGGUUUCAUAACAAUCAUAGGCUGAAUGGUUUAAAAGAACAAAAGUAAAAUAAAACCAAAGCUAUUCUUCUUGCGCAUUUCCAAGGAUUGGUUUUUUAACACUAUUUAUUGGUCUUCUAAUAGAUAAUAUUAAGUAUAUUUAGUUUAAAUGGACUUGACCAUUUUCAUAGACUCCAGAACCUAAUUAUGUUAUACACUAAAAACAUAUUCAGACAAGCUAAGCAAA